GCACUAGUGGUUUAGUGGUAAAAUUGGCCGUUGCCAUCGGCCAGCCCUCGGUUCGAUUCCGGGCUAGUGCA
RNAcentral lists this transfer RNA (71 nucleotides) under Candidatus Bathyarchaeota archaeon. Its description in RNAcentral is "tRNA-Gly". It matches the Rfam family "tRNA". Rfam says of the family: Transfer RNA (tRNA) molecules are approximately 80 nucleotides in length. Their secondary structure includes four short double-helical elements and three loops (D, anti-codon, and T loops). Further hydrogen bonds mediate the characteristic L-shaped molecular structure. tRNAs have two regions of fundamental functional importance: the anti-codon, which is responsible for specific mRNA codon recognition, and the 3' end, to which the tRNAs corresponding amino acid is attached (by aminoacyl-tRNA synthetases). tRNAs cope with the degeneracy of the genetic code in two manners: having more than one tRNA (with a specific anti-codon) for a particular amino acid; and 'wobble' base-pairing, i.e. permitting non-standard base-pairing at the 3rd anti-codon position. Lineage: Archaea; Thermoproteati; Candidatus Bathyarchaeota. The record is from RNAcentral.